UGCUAGUACCAUGUAUCUUCACUUCAGUGCUGCCUCCAAACUUAAUUACUUGGCUUCCCUCAGGGCUGCAAACUGAGGCAGCUUCAAAAUGAGGGUGGCUUAUAUUAAAUAUAUUUUAAUUACUGUCUUCUACAUUCGUAACAGUAAAGGUGGCUCUGUUAAUCAAAGGGAAUGAAUUUUCCAUCACUCGGAUCACUAGUUUUAUUUUCAAAGACAUUUUCACAUUUGUUUGAAUUCUUCAAUGUACCUAAAGACAUAUUUAUAACUUAUUUGAUUCCAUCUGAAAAAGAACCAGAAAAAUGUCCUGCAUACUGGAGUUGAAUGAAACUUGUCAAGCUUGAGUUCAAAUUCAUCCCUGUUAUCUUCAACAGACAUCAUCAGUCAUGCAGACAGUUUUCCCAUUGCUCUCUCAACUUUUUUCCAUCUUGGUAAAGAAAUAUUCGAAUU
RNAcentral lists this long non-coding RNA (447 nucleotides) under Anas platyrhynchos platyrhynchos (common mallard). RNAcentral's name for it is "lncRNA (ENSAPLG00000025712.1)". The record is from RNAcentral. Lineage: Eukaryota; Metazoa; Chordata; Aves; Anseriformes; Anatidae.